UAAUUUUUUUGUUUUGUUUUGAAUAAAAUUGUUAUAUUUAAUUAUUUUUGUAAUUGUUUUAAUCUUCAAUGUUACAAGCAUGGUUUUUCUGUAACUUCUUUAUUUGGAAUGGCUCAUACCUUGAGGCAUGGUAUGUCUACAAUGGUUUGCCUAAAUCUGUGUAUCACUAUUAAAAAAAGGGACAGGGAUUAAGUUGGAAACAUGAAUAUGAGGCUGAUGUCAUGCUGAAGCUACAAGCAACGCAACACGUUCACACGUUCCAAUAAGAAAGCGUUGCAACGCAUUGGGAUGUCAUGCUGGCGCGACAUGUCGCUUUGAAAUUCCCUACAAAUCAUCACUUCUUUACAUCUGAUAAUGCUUUGAAUCGUUUCCUUUCUUUCGGGAACCGUCAAAAACUUAUCAGAUCCUAUCAGAUCAUGCUCGGAUUGCAAGAAUGCCGUAAUUUGAACCGACAAAAUUCCUUGUUUGUUUUUGUGGGAACCAAGAAUUUCUGAAAAUUUUCUUGUCGAUUCAGGUAUUAUUUAGUUUAUUAUCACAAAUUUGGACGGAUCUUCGAAUUAUUGUGGUUAAAACCCGAAAUCACUGUUUUAAAACGAGAAAAAACAAUAUUCCCAUUGGAUUUCCUACUUGUCGCGCUACAAAACCCUGGCAUCAGCUUUGUCGCGCUUUCCAAUGCGCUCAGCAUGACACACGGAAAAUAAUAAAAAGGUAAAAUUUACCGAGAUAAAAAGGUGAACGCUCGUGAAAGCCAAAAAGGUAACUUCUACCUCUUCGAGGUGAAACUCACCUCACAGCGAGGUAAAAGUUUACCUGAAUUGAACUGGAAAAAAAGGUUCAAUUCACCGAGAAAAAAAGUGAAUCCAAAAAAGGUUAAUCUUACCUCGUUGCGAGGUUAAGUUGACCUGGUUUGAGCUAAACAAAACGGUACAAUUCUCCUCGAAAAAAGGUAACAAUUUGCCGAACCCGUUUAUUGAGGUUAAGCUGUUUUGUCAUUCAGGAACAAGUUUUGUUGUGUGCCUAAUAUGUGAAAAUCGGAAUAGAAUGGUAAGUGUUUUCUUAGAUAUCAUUUAGUUGUGCUGGUUCUCGUCAUAAUACAUUGCUUUUGUUUCAGAUCGGCACCGGAUGACGGUGUAUUCCACGUCAUCCUCCAGCCGGAAAAGCCGAACCUGACCGGAUUAGUCGAACGGAGGGAAUCAUGAAUGUACGCAACGCAGGAGGAUUCAGCGACCAUGGCGGCUCAGAAGAACGCGAAGCCGAAUUACCAGUUCCUAUUUAUCUCCAAUAAAUAUAAUUUUUGAAUGAAUUUUGUAUUUUGUUUAUCCUUUGUACUUAUUGAAGAACCAAUCAAACCAACCAGCAUUUACCUUUUAAAUCAGUAAAUGGGAAAACGGUAUUAUUUACUAUUUUGCUAGCUGAAUGUGAAAAAGGUAGAAUUUACCUUUUUGCUAGGUGAAUUGAAAAAAGGUAAAAUUUACCUCGAAAGAGGGGUGGAAAAAAUUCACCUCGCAAAAAGGUAAAUUUUACCUUUUUUUUAUUUUCCGUGCAGGUGUGCGUUUUUUCCAUGGAGAUCAAAUGAGAGCUGGUUUGUCGGGUGAACGUUGUGUUGAAGGUUGCGUUGCUUGUCGCCUCAGCUUGACAUCAGCCUAAUAGACGAAGAUCAAAAGCUUUGGAACAGAAGUAUUGUUGUUAUUGUCCGUUUUAUUAUUUUUGUCAGAACUAUUGCCAUUCCACAUAAAGAACUGCUUUUUAUUUUACCAUCUAAGUGUAAAACUUCUACCUGUUUGGACGUUAAGAAAGCUCAUUAAAAUUGUAAACAAAUGAAGAAAAAACAUUCUCGUUCCCUGCACAGUAAACGAAAACUACCGAGUUCGGUAAUUUUUUUUACAGAACCUGUUCUGUAAUUCGAAAAUUUUCGGUAAUUGAUCGAUCUGACGUCUUGUUUUUACCGAGUUCGGUAGAUCGAUCCUUUAUUUAACGAGGCUCGUUUAUUUUUAUGUAAACAAAUCGCUUUGCCGUAAAUUUUCGGUGAAAAAACACCGAAAACUGUAAAUUAGUGUUGCUGUCAACACAAACGUCAAGUUUCGAGCGCACAUUUUUUGCAGCUUUGAGCGCAACCGUCUCUUUUUGAUAACCGCGAUGUAUUAGUGGCGUCCCGCUUGCGCAAAAUCAAUUUGAAACGUUUUUAAUUUUUGCAUAUGCGCAGGGGGUGCUUUCAAUCGAGCAGUAAAGUUUCGGUAUCACGUGUUUGUAGAUGAUGUUGGGGGUCAAAAUGUUCAACCGCUGCGUGUUGAAGUUUAUUAAGACCAUUAAUUGUGAUUGAAAAAAGUGAAUCUAAUGUGUCAAACAUCUUUCGGUGACUGUUUAAAACCACAUUCCACCAGUUAUUUAAAAAAAAAACCUCAAAACCACAAUGGUAAAAGAGCACCAGGCUCUGUAAUUUGACUUGAAUUCCUCAGGUUCAACAGGCAAGUUCAGUACGGUAAAGUAAUCUGAGGUUUUCGCCUACUUUUUAAAUUUAAGACCAAAUAACCCGCCUGACACUGAUGCUGAUAAUAAGUGGUAAGUAGGAAAUUGAUAACGAAAAUCAAAGUAAACUUUGAACAAUAAAUGAGACGAUUUUGUUUUGUUCGCGAUGUUUAUGUAUUUCUGUUUUAGUUUUGCGUUUCCGAAAUUUAGGUUGUUUUGGAUUCAUUUCGAGGACGGCUGUUCCAUUAAUCUUAACUGUAGGCAGAUAAACAACCAAAUUGAAACGAUGCAGUUUGGAAGUGCAGGAAACAAAUUUGAAUUCAUCCGUGGCCUUCAUGGAAAAUACUACUUAAUACCUCAAAAAACCUUCCAAUGGAGCUCUUUCGUUUAUUUGCAGGUAAUUUUUGUAUGACUUUUCUGUGUCGUAAAUUUAUUAAAAUAAUUCAUUCUUACAGGAACCGGAACAUUCUGCUUACCAGCUUGGUUAAAGUUGGCUGAAUACCAGUUGGUGCCAUUAUCGAUGACGGAUCUAUGGUUGGAGCUGAUGCCAAUGCUGUUAUCAAAGUUAUCAUCGCAGUUAUACGAAAGCUAUUCGCGCUUCUAAACCUUGUUAUUAUCUGUGAAUGCUAUGAACGCACUCCAAUUUAUUUACCACUUUAGAACGAUUUUUCGUGGCCGGAUGAGUAUAAAACCGCUCGUGUAUUGUCGAACCGCCCGCUUAAAUCUUCCUGAACAGGACAAGCAACUCGUGUGCAGUGGCCAGAAUUUGGAUGUCAACAUGAAGGACAGAGGUUUUGUGCGCAAUCGAAUUGGGCAGAUGACCGAGAUGGCUACAUAUAUCGAUCGAAUUCAGAGACAAAUUAUCCUGGGAAAGUAUAUGACGCUCUGCGUAGUGCUGUUGUAGGAUGACCAUAAUUUUGCUGAAAAUCACGAAAAAAGAACAGUUAAAGGAUUCGAAGCUUACUUGAACAUUUCAGGAUCCGAUAAGGAAGAAUGUUAAUAAGCUGCCAAUAUGAAAAAGGAAAUAUAUAUAGUUCGGGAUUUCUGGAAAUCCGAAAUGCGAGCGUCGAUAAAUAAUUUUAGCAUCCGUCGUUAGGUGAGUAAAUAUUCUUGUUCAUUUUUUUCAUUUACUUACCUACUAGGGUAACGGACUUAUUUUAGACCAGAGGACCUAUUUUGGGCCACCUUGUCUAGCUCUUUUAUAAAGCAACUUAUCAUGAAUUUUCUUGACGAAUAUAGUUGAAGCUCGGGAACUUAAUGUAUUGCAUUAAUUUUUUUUCACAUUUGGUUGCUUUAUAAGAGAAGAGAGCUAGACAAAGUGGUCAAAAAUAGGUCCCGUGGUCCAAAAUAAGUUUGUUACCCUAUUUACUCAAUAUUCAACAGUAAACUGUUCCUAUAAUACACUUCAAUUGCUUGAUAAUUUUUUGAAAUAUUUGUUUGCAGCUAAACGCUAAGCCAUCUCACAAAGGAUUCUCGGUUUAAAAAGUCUGUGCCAAAUCAAGUCUGGUAAGCGAAAACGACUGUAUCAACGUUAAAUACCCCGCAAUGGCUGGAAAUAGGACAUGUCGUAGGAACUGAUUAAGUGCCAUACUCAUGAAUUUCCAAUCGGGCAACAAUAUAAGGGAUUUUUCAACAGGAGGUGUUAAAUCGUUCAAAUUGUACAGCUUAAUUCCUUAUUAACUGACACUGAAUUAUUUCAUCGAAGAGGUUAGAUUCAUUAUGGCAAGGCUUGUGAACAUAAUCGACAUCGACCCAGUGUUGUGAAGAAAGUAGGUAACCAAAUGGCACUGCGUGAGCCAAGACUCAUUAGGGAUCAUCGGAUUGAAAUCAAGCCAAAUAAACAUCCAAGUGCUGCGCCAAAAUCCGAUGGAUUGAUGACCGAUGUACUCUGCCGAACAAACCUGCGUUCGGUAAGUAACAGGUUUGAAAAUUCCCAUCUUCAAAAUUGUUAGUAUAAUUUUGAUAUUUUUCGGGUUGGAAGUAUUUUUUUGCUCACAUAGAAAAUUAAAACAGGCAUAUAUUUACACAAGUAAAAUAGCAAUAUUCAGUUUAUGUUAUAAAAUUAUAUUAUUUAUUCCAAUACACGUGAAAGGAGAAUUAAAUGUUCAUUCGUCUUAACGUUCAGAGUAGGAGACAUUCAUACUAUUUAGCAUGUUGCUACUACAUAAAUGAAGGCGUUUAACACUUCAGAUUGCCAUUAUGAAUAUAGCCUCCGCUGGCAGAUAAAGAAGUACUGUCAACAUUAUGAAUCUUUGUAUCGGUUUUUUAAAAAAAGGUAGUUUUAUUGUAUCGAUCAUACUUACUUAUACAAAUAAUAUAAAUUUUUUAGUACAGCACUCGCUCGUGGAACGGAUAUUUUUUAAAUCAAUUUCUCUUGGUGAUCGGACGUUUUGGCAGAUGAAAUCAGUCAAGUUCAGUUCAUUUUCUACGUUACUGAUGGUCCUCGGUCCAAAAAUUAAUUUUUGUUCCUUUAUCAUUUUAUUACAGAUGGAUGUAAAGAAUUCGAUCAUCGAUGUGUAUGCUGAUAGGAUUUGCUCAGCGCUUGUUAAUGAGAAAAACUAUGCUCCUGCUACAAAGUCAAUUCCUUGUGGCCCUCAGUUUUCAGUUUCAGGAAACACAAUGAAAAGAUAUUUAAACAAGAAUGGAAAUAGAGAUACAAGGAAAUUAUUUUUGCUCAAAUAAUUUAAGGAAAGGUUUGUUUUAAGAAUUAAAUCUUAGAGUUUUAUCAUUUCUUGUACGUUAUAAUUCUAAUUAAAAAGUCGUCAAAUUAUUAAUAAAAAUAAGUUAAAAAAUAUCUUCGUUAAUUGAUUUUUUUAAAGCAUAUCCAAAGUUGGUAUCAGUUUAAUACUUAGUUAACAAUACCUAAUGGUUAUCAAUCGAGAAGUUUUAUCUACUUUAAGCUGGCCAUUUAAAAUAUUUACUUGUAGAAUUACUUUGCUAUGUUUGGCUUUAAACUGAAUCGUAUAAGCCGUUUCUAAUAAAAAUUAUAAAAAAAAUUCUUUUC
Molecule: long non-coding RNA, 5470 nt
Organism: Uranotaenia lowii
Lineage: Eukaryota; Metazoa; Arthropoda; Insecta; Diptera; Culicidae
Exons: 3
Source: RefSeq, a predicted model, not a curated record